RNAcentral lists this non-coding RNA (31 nucleotides) under Mus musculus (house mouse). The record is from RNAcentral. Lineage: Eukaryota; Metazoa; Chordata; Mammalia; Rodentia; Muridae.
UGAUAUUCUUCUACAAAAUGCCAUACAUAGG